This is a long non-coding RNA of Arvicola amphibius (Eurasian water vole), 1917 nucleotides long. RefSeq lists it as uncharacterized. NCBI's taxonomy places the organism in Eukaryota, Metazoa, Chordata, Mammalia, Rodentia, Cricetidae. The record is from RefSeq and is a predicted model, not a curated record. The transcript has 3 exons.
GGUCUCUUUACCCUCGAGGGAAAGAGCGGUUUACAUUCAUAGCUUGCUCCACACAUCUUUCCCCAUCAUUUUUAUUCCUUGUUUCAUUGUUGAAGGUAUCUGUUGAGUAUUCGAUUCUCAUCACUCAAACACACGCAGCUCCGCAUGUAUAAUAAGUGCACGCAGACUGCUAACAUGUUUGAUUUACAAAUAACUUCAGCGGGCCUCCAGCCUGCUGAUGUCAAUCAGGGCUAGGGGACAGACAUUCAUCAGCACAACCUGAACCUUGUCAUGAACAGUGGACGUGUACUUCCUGUGAAGCUGAUCUGAAAUCAGAGGAUCCAGAGAAAAAGUAGCAAAGGGAACUGGAAAGGCCACUUCAAGAUUUCUGCAUCAGAACAGCUUCCAGGAUGCUGACUGAGAUGACCUAGACUCACAUGACUAUAGGAGCGAAGACUUAAUUAUUAUCCUGAUUUUCUCAAGGUUCCUCCAAAGAUAUCAGUGCCCCCAACAACAAAAGUAGUCUAGGGAAAACAAUACUCACUUUCCCAAAAGAUGGAUUAUGGAGGUUUGUCAUCAUUCAAGUGUGUUGAUUUCAAGCUAUUAUUGGUCAUGGUCAAAAAAGAAGGUACACAAAAGAGUUAGAUUCUAAGAUCUCUUUCUGAAGAAAAAGAUGGGAGGAUAGGAAUGACAGGAAAAAGGGUAGAUUAUUAAAUCUAAUUUAAUCCAAAAACAACUAUUAAUCUCAAAAUAUUUUACUUUGUAUGGAUUUUGAUUCAUUGAUACAAAUUUAAAGUUAUUUUUGUUAUACUGUGCCCGUGUAUCUACUCUUGUUUUUGGUAUUGUGCUUAUGCAGUUCAUUUAAAAUAUAAAGUACAAUUAAGGAAUACAGUUUAGUAGUUAUUCAUCUUUAAUAAUCAAACUUGUAGUCAUAUUAGGUAUGUUUUCAAGAUUAAACAAAGAUAUUUAGAUAAAUAGAUAGUCUUCAAACACAUCAAAGAUGUACAGACUAUGGUAUUUAAAAUAAUUUUAUAAUGUAAGGAUUUGCAAGACAGUGAGAUAUGUUUGCUUCUGGUAGUAACAAUUUACUUCAGAAGAGAUGGUGGACAUUAAAAAUCAACUCCAUAUUAUAUUUGCCUUCUUUGUGGCAAAAGAUAGCCACUGCAAAAAAAAAAAAAUAACUGCCCCAGCCUCAUCUGCUUUAUACUGUCCAAACUUGACAAGCAAGACACAAAAGAAAAUGACUGCAAGAUAUUUUCAAGAUAAGGUAGGGCAACUUUUCAAAAUUUCCUGCUUUACAGAACUUUUUGUCAGAUAUAGUAGGCCUGUAGGCCCAACAUGAAUGUCCCAAACAUUGCAGAUCAACUUUGGGUGACUGUUCAGGCAGUCAGAUGUCCCUGUCAUUAGGAAAUAUCAUAUGCUUCUGAGGACUUUGAUGGAAUUGAAGACAAAAUUGUGUGACUUUUAAUUUUCCUUAGAUACUAUAAAAAAUAAAUUAGGUAUAAAUCUUUAGAGUGUUUUCUCUAAAUUUGCCAAAUACAAAUGGACUAACUAUUGUGUCUGUAAUUCAUAUACAAUAACUGCUUUGUGCAUGUAAAUUAACUACAUUAAAGUUAAAACCUUCUCUUUAAAAAGACAAAAAGAGGGAAGUGAUUUGGAAUAAUCCUUUUGUACACUAUGAAAAUGUGUUUAUCUUAUUGUUAAAUAAGAGCUGACUAGCCAAUGGUUAAGCAGGUAGCUAUUAGGUGGGAGUUAUUUACAAAAAGAGAGUGCAGGAAAGAAGGAUGGUGGAGUUGCCAGUAAGAUGCAUGGGAAGCAGAACAUGAACAUGCCAUGCCGAAAAUUGAUAACUCCACAUGGUAGACUUUAGGGCUUGCUAGACAAUGGUGGCACAUGCCUUUAAUCUUAGCACUUGGGAGGUAGAGGCAGGUGGUUCUC